UACAGAGGGUGCAAGCGUUAAUCGGAAUUACUGGGCGUAAAGCGCACGUAGGUGGUUGAGUAAGUUUGAUGUGAAAGCCCUGGGCUUAACCUGGGAAUUGCGUUGAAAACUGUUUAACUUGAGUCGGAUAGAGGGCAGUGGAAUUUCCGGUGUAGCGGUGAAAUGCGUAGAGAUCGGAAAGAACAUCGGUGGCGAAGGCGGCUGCCUGGGUCCAGACUGACACUGAGGUGCGAAAGCGUGGGGAGCAAACAGG
RNAcentral lists this ribosomal RNA (253 nucleotides) under uncultured bacterium. RNAcentral's name for it is "partial 16S ribosomal RNA". It matches the Rfam family "Bacterial small subunit ribosomal RNA", at positions 524 to 776 of the family's 1533-position model. The record is from RNAcentral.